Molecule: ribosomal RNA, 179 nt
Filed under: Staphylococcus aureus
Lineage: Bacteria; Bacillati; Bacillota; Bacilli; Caryophanales; Staphylococcaceae
Also listed under: 4 other names
Description: partial 16S ribosomal RNA
Rfam family: Bacterial small subunit ribosomal RNA
Source: RNAcentral
UUUAUGGAGAGUUUGAUCCUGGCUCAGGAUGAACGCUGGCGGCGUGCCUAAUACAUGCAAGUCGAGCGAACGGACGAGAAGCUUGCUUCUCUGAUGUUAGCGGCGGACGGGUGAGUAACACGUGGAUAACCUACCUAUAAGACUGGGAUAACUUCGGGAAACCGGAGCUAAUACCGGAU